Long non-coding RNA from Erinaceus europaeus (western European hedgehog), 1376 nucleotides. RefSeq lists it as uncharacterized. Lineage: Eukaryota; Metazoa; Chordata; Mammalia; Eulipotyphla; Erinaceidae. The record is from RefSeq and is a predicted model, not a curated record. The transcript is spliced from 2 exons.
ACUUGCUCUGCUCUUGGACCUGCUUUGCUGUGCAGGCGCCCAGCCUGUGUUCAGGGAACGGACUCCCCUCCCCGCCCCGACAUGCCGCGUGGAUUUGCACCAGCUCCCACCACUGUUGGAGCUCAGGCCCAGACCCGAUCUAGAGAAGGAAGCCGGGCACUGCUCCCAGGGGCCCUGAGUCCUGGGACCCUGAGUCCUGGGACCCUAAGUCCUGGAGUCUUGAGUCCUGCUCCCCCCCCCCCCCCCCCCCCCCGCUCUGGGUGUCUUAUGUCCUGGGGCCUUGCGUCUUGGGGUCUUGGCCGGAUGGUUCUGCCCAGUUCUCACUGCACCUGCUCGGCCAGAGCCUCGGGACUCUGACGCUCUCUCCCAGCCAGCCGGAGCCCUCAGUCCCACCAAGCAUCCUGAAAGUCAUCUGAAAUCAGGACAUCGCCUGCCUGCACAGGCAUGGGCCUUAUGGAGUUUGGGUUGAGUGAAGGCUGGCCUGCAUCUUGUCACCGGAAACCAGCUAGGGAAGUUCUGAAUGCCUAAAGCCUGCAGUAAAUGACUUUAGCAAAGUAGAGCCUUCAUGAAGGUUUCAACCUUCGGGAGAGAAACAAAUUGACAGAGAAAAGGGAAAUAGAAGAGAAUGAGAGACAUUUGCAGACCUACCUCACACCUCACUAAGUGUCUGCCCUGCAGGUGGGGAGCAGCUUGAACCCAGGUCCUUGAACAUGGUAUAAUAUAUGCUCAGCCAGGUGCUCCAUCAGUUGGACCCAAAAAAGAAUUCUGCCAAGCUCUGCCUUGCACCCCUCUCCUACAGGACAUCUGGCCCUUCUAACAUCAGGUCUCUUAAUGCCUUGACAGACCUCACCGGUGACUCAGACCUUUUCCAGCCCUAGCCUCAUCUCUUCACACAGGAGUCACCAGCCUGGAGGAAGCACAGUGGAGUUGUGCUGUGGCUGGAGGAGGAUAUAUCACUUCUCUCCUCCUGGUUCCUUUCCACCUGCAGAGCGUUGUCACCUUUCCUAAGAAUACAGCCUUUGAAGUUUGCUCCUUAGUUUUUUAGCAAGUUGGUAGCUGAGCCCCUUGAACUCAGAGUCCUGAUGAAGAAGCCUGUGAAGACUCUUUAGGACAUGUGUUUGGCUUGCUCACUGUAUGCCAGACAAGGACUUAACAGCAAUUUGGAAAGAAGCACAGUGACAGAAGUAAUUCAGUGCAGUGACUGGUAUAAAUCAUACUGUCCUCAUGUUCAGCAUUUUCUACUGAAACCACAACUAAAGUUUAAGACUGCAUAGCAACUUUUGCCAUGAGUCCUCUAAGAAAACAAGGUAUCAAGAUUUCAUCAUGUUUUACUAACUAUCUUUCUCUAAUAAACAACUGUGCCCUGUUCGUUAUAA